Molecule: long non-coding RNA, 1027 nt
Filed under: Salvator merianae (Argentine black and white tegu)
Lineage: Eukaryota; Metazoa; Chordata; Lepidosauria; Squamata; Teiidae
Description: lncRNA (ENSSMRG00000007692.1)
Source: RNAcentral
CCUUUCUCUGCCUCACCCNCCCCCCCCCCCCCGGUUCUUCUCUUACCAGGAAAAAGGAGCAGAGGCAAGAAGAAGGAGAGGAAGAAGAGGGGGAGGACCCUAUGCUGUUCGUCACAGAUGGGAAUGAGGAGCGGAAGACAUCUCUUAAAGUAGAUAAGCUGUCCAAGUCCAAGAAGGAUGAGCAAUUUAACAUGUACACCAAGAGCAAGACAGGGGGGAGCCCACCUGCUGACAAUGAUCUAAGCACCGAGGACUAUGAAACCAUGGGGCUAGGUGAAGAUUAUGAGAAUCUGUCAACAGGAGGACUUUAUGGGAACUUGGGUAACUGGCAGACCACUUCUGGCACCGACCAGAUCUACUCCAAUGUCUGACAGGAGAAGGAAGCAGAUGAAGAAGCUUAUCCAAAUUCUUUUCUCUAUUUAACAAGUGCUUGUAAUAACUAGAAGUAAUACUAGCUAGAACAAUGGAUGGGAUCAGAAGGAAGAUCUGCAGAGGCAUCAUGCUGACCUAGGAUGCCUGUCUAAACUGCAUGAGGGUUCUCUGCUUUGCAAGGGCUGCCUCCCAAAAUUCCCUGGGGAGUUUUGUUAGUCUAAACCCUUGCAGUGUCUUGCUGCUAGGGUGUGUUAUUAGUGCCAACUCCUAGGACUGGAUGCUCUGUGGGAUAUAUGGUAUGUGUGUAAGACUCUGGUUUUCAAUGUGCAGAGGGAAUAACCAUAACCUUAAACCCUGGAGGCUCUUAUUUCCUGUGGGGAACCCUCUUUGGACUUCCCCCCUCUGCAGUGAGGGGAUAACUGAAUGGCACUAACCCCCACCCCCAGGAUCAAUUGCCUGCUGACGUGUCAGGAACUGUGCUGUCCUAAAUCCCAUCCCUCUUUUCUAAGACCGAGGUGUUUCCUGAUGUUUUGAGCCCAUUGUGUCAGUGGAUUUUAUUGUCAGACUUUCUAAGUAUAUGUCUCUAUUUUUGUAUUCUCAGCAUGUCCCUGCUGCUUUUAUUACAGUGAUUCACUUGGACUUGGGGGUGAUGGGA